AGUGAACGCUGGCGGUAGGCCUAACACAUGCAAGUCGAACGGCAGCACAGUAAGAGCUUGCUCUUACGGGUGGCGAGUGGCGGACGGGUGAGGAAUACAUCGGAAUCUACUUUUUCGUGGGGGAUAACGUAGGGAAACUUACGCUAAUACCGCAUACGACCUACGGGUGAAAGCAGGGGAUCUUCGGACCUUGCGCGAUUGAAUGAGCCGAUGUCGGGUUAGCUAGUUGGCGGGGUAAAGGCCCACCAAGGCGACGAUCCGUAGCUGGUCUGAGAGGAUGAUCAGCCACACUGGAACUGAGACACGGUCCAGACUCCUACGGGAGGCAGCAGUGGGGAAUAUUGGACAAUGGGCGCAAGCCUGAUCCAGCCAUACCGCGUGGGUGAAGAAGGCCUUCGGGUUGUAAAGCCCUUUUGUUGGAAAAGAAAAGCAGCAGGUUAAUACCCCGCUGUUCUGACGGUACCCAAAGAAUAAGCACCGGCUAACUUCGUG
RNAcentral lists this ribosomal RNA (492 nucleotides) under uncultured bacterium. RNAcentral describes it as "partial 16S ribosomal RNA". It matches the Rfam family "Bacterial small subunit ribosomal RNA", at positions 29 to 507 of the family's 1533-position model. The record is from RNAcentral.